Molecule: small nucleolar RNA, 119 nt
Organism: Heterocephalus glaber (naked mole-rat)
Lineage: Eukaryota; Metazoa; Chordata; Mammalia; Rodentia; Bathyergidae
Source: Ensembl
AGAAACACAUUAAAAAUGGAGGGAGGGAUGUCUUAGACAGUUUCCACAGAAAGCUCAGCAUCUCACGGCCCCAGGUCCUGUGUUCUGAGCCCUGGUUAUAAAUUUGGCUGAGAACUUUG